UGAGUACGAGAUGCUACGGCAUCGAAGCAGUCUAUGUCAUACUUCCAAGAAAAGCUUGCAAUGUCAUAAACAAAUAAUGCCUGUACCAUAACCGACACAGGUGGGUAGGUAGAGUAUACUAAGGGGCGCGAGAUAACUCUCUCUAAGGAACUCGGCAAAAUGACUCCGUAACUUCGGGAGAAGGAGUGCCUUAUUUUUAUAAGGUUGCAAUAACAAGAUCCAAGCAACUGUUUACCAAAAACACAGGUCUCCGCUAAGUCGUAAGACGAUGUAUGGGGGCUGACGCCUGCCCAGUGCCAGAAGGUUAAAGAAGUUGGUUAGCAUUAGCGAAGCUGAUAACUGAAGCCCUGGUGAACGGCGGCCGUAACAAUAACGGUCCUAAGGUAGCGAAAUUCCUUGUCGGGUAAGUUCCGACCCGCACGAAAGGCGUAAUGAUUUGGAUACUGUCUCGGAGAGGGGCUCGGUGAAAUAGACUUGUCUGUGAAGAUGCGGACUACCUGCACCUGGACAGAAAGACCCUAUGAAGCUUUACUGUAACUUGAGAUUGAAAUUGGACUUUAUCUGCGCAGUAUAGGUGGGAGACGUUGAAAAUAUUCUUGCGGGAAUAUUGGAGUCAUCAGUGAGAUACCACUCUUAUAAUGUUAGAUUUCUAACUUUGUAUCAUUAUCUGGUCAAAGAACAGUUUCAGGCGGGCAGUUUGACUGGGGCUGUCGCCUCCCAAACGGUAACGGAGGCGCACAAAGGUUUCCUCUGAACGUGUAGAAAUCGUAUCUAGAGUGUAAAGGCAUAAGGAAGCUUGACUGUGAGACCUACAAGUCGAGCAGGGACGAAAGUCGGUCUUAGUGAUCUGACGGUGCUGAGUGGAAAGGCCGUCACUCAACGGAUAAAAGUUACUCUAGGAUAACAGGCUGAUCUCCCCCAAGAGUUCACAUCGACGGGGAGGUUUGGCACCUCGAUGUCGGCUCAUCGCAUCCUGGGGCGGUAGUACGUCCCAAGGGUUGGGCUGUUCGCCCAUGAAAGCGGUACGCGAGCUGGGUUCAGAACGUCGUGAGACAGUUCGGUCCAUAUCCGGUGUAGGCGUUAGAAUAUUGAGAGGAGCCUUCUUUAGUACGAGAGGACCGAGAAGGACAUACCUCUGGUGUACCAGUUAUCGUGCCAACGGUAAACGCUGGGUAGCCAUGUAUGGAGAGGAUAACCGCUGAAAGCAUCUAAGUGGGAAGCCCACCUCAAGAUAAGUAUUCUCAUC
RNAcentral lists this ribosomal RNA (1246 nucleotides) under metagenome. RNAcentral describes it as "bacterial LSU rRNA". It matches the Rfam family "Bacterial large subunit ribosomal RNA", at positions 1564 to 2818 of the family's 2925-position model. The record is from RNAcentral.